RNAcentral lists this long non-coding RNA (248 nucleotides) under Elaeis guineensis (African oil palm). RNAcentral's name for it is "long non-coding RNA (EGUI_LNC024164)". The record is from RNAcentral. Lineage: Eukaryota; Viridiplantae; Streptophyta; Magnoliopsida; Arecales; Arecaceae.
AAAGUGUGAAUAAUAUUUACUUGGUUGACUUGAUUUUCGUGUUGGGGUCAUGGAUCGUUCUAAGUUCUUGGGUUGGGUUCAGGUUAGCUAGGCAGCCUCCCUCAUUCUUGCUCACUCAUGGUAGAGGCUAGCUGACGUACUUAUAUUUUUAGGUGGGCUAUGGCUUGAGUAUUAGUGUUUAAGUGCUAGCCUAUGGUUUGCAUAAAAUUACUCAAUGUAGCGUUAGUAUCAGCAUUGGAUUUUGUCAA